CCUUUUCCUUUUUUUCUUUCUCUUUCUUUCCGUCUUCUCUUUCCUCUUUCUCUUUCUCUUCGUCUUCUCUCUUCUCUCUUCUCUGUUUUCUGCACAAACCCUAGCGCAGCCACAAACCCUAGCGAUAUCGUCGACCACUCCAAUAUCACAAUCUCACGGUCUUUGUCAUUUGGUUUCUAUGAACUUGGCGGCGACCACCGUUUCUCCAUCUCCAGCCGAUUCGGGCCUUGAAAAAUAAAGUGUUUGUGUGAAGCUGGGGUUUUUGACAUUUUAUAUUUAGUAUCGAAGUUUUAGGUGCCUUUCAGAUCACCUUGCAGCUUGGGUGAAGGAAUACAAGGUUGACAAGGCUAUUGCAGAAAUUGAGGGAAGACAUGUCCAAAAACUUGUAGAAUUGUGAUGAAUCAAGGCAGCAGUUAAUGCACAUUUAGGAGGAACACAGCAAACUGGUAUGUAAUAAAAAAUAUAGAACUAAAAGUGCUUAUAUGCAUAUGUAUAUUACUUAUAUCUAUGCAUUUUUUUAACCCUCUUAGUGGAAACUUUGUAAACAAGACACUGUAUGAAAUACGGUUCAUGGGUCCAUUUUGAAUUUCUUUCUGUGUUAUAAA
Vicia villosa (hairy vetch) is the source of this 605-nucleotide long non-coding RNA. RefSeq lists it as uncharacterized. Lineage: Eukaryota; Viridiplantae; Streptophyta; Magnoliopsida; Fabales; Fabaceae. The record is from RefSeq and is a predicted model, not a curated record. The transcript has 4 exons.